UCAGGUGAGGGAUUCAAUGACGGCUUUCCUCUUGUAUUGAAUAGUGGGUCUGACUUAAUUAAGGAGUGGGACCAAUAUCUGUCAGGUGAGACUUCCAUGACUUAGAGAUUGAAUCGCUGUAAUAUGCUUGAGAAGCAUUGGAUAAAAAUUUUUCACUCAUUGAUAUGCGUGUCAUCAAUAUCUAUCAGAUGAAGUAUCGUAUGUCAGUAGGACUGCAGUAUCCAUUAAAAAUCCUAGUCACAAAGGGCUUUCAUUUCUCUAUCCGAGGAGUGUAAGACUCAGAAAAAUAAUGAGAGUAACAUUUAUUUUAAAAGAUCCUAAAAUAAAUUAAAAAUCAAGUAUAAAAUCUAAUUAGAAUUUCUUCUCUCUGCAGUUCACAAUGUCAACUUCCAACCCUUUAGCCCGAACUCUUGAAACCAAUCGACUGACCGAAAAUAACUACAAGGACUGGCGUAGGAACCUCAGAAUUUGUUCUGAACUCAGAAA
RNAcentral lists this long non-coding RNA (486 nucleotides) under Elaeis guineensis (African oil palm). RNAcentral's name for it is "long non-coding RNA (EGUI_LNC025787)". Lineage: Eukaryota; Viridiplantae; Streptophyta; Magnoliopsida; Arecales; Arecaceae. The record is from RNAcentral.